This 126-nucleotide non-coding RNA is filed under the name Paeniglutamicibacter gangotriensis. RNAcentral describes it as "Arthrobacter gangotriensis SAM-IV sequence". It matches the Rfam family "SAM (S-adenosyl methionine) riboswitch aptamer". Rfam says of the family: SAM-IV is a mRNA element that regulates gene expression via direct sensing of S-adenosylmethionine (SAM or AdoMet). Lineage: Bacteria; Bacillati; Actinomycetota; Actinomycetes; Micrococcales; Micrococcaceae. RNAcentral also lists the same sequence under 1 other name. The record is from RNAcentral.
CUUCACGAGAUGUACGCCGUUUUUGGGCUCCGACCUGGCGCACGCACCAACCCCAUGCUUCACGGGUGGUUCGGAUGACGAAGCGGUCCUUGUCAGCAGCCGCUGUCUGGAGGACAAGAGCAAACG